Long non-coding RNA from Neodiprion fabricii, 897 nucleotides. RefSeq lists it as uncharacterized. The record is from RefSeq and is a predicted model, not a curated record. NCBI's taxonomy places the organism in Eukaryota, Metazoa, Arthropoda, Insecta, Hymenoptera, Diprionidae. The transcript is spliced from 2 exons.
CAGUCUAUAGAAGUUUUAUAGAAGUUCACACCGUCGAUUGUUUACAAUGUGUUGGUUUGACGGCGAUGGUGUCAACCUCAAAAUCCAAGUCUGUCACAGAAUUGCGUGUACACCGACACAGUGUUGCAUUGACACCGAUGUAAUGUUGAAUUGACACCGAUGGUGUCAAUCUGAUGUCGAAAGCUCUUACGCGUACAAGUUUUAACAUGCCGCAAGUCCUUAGCCCGCAGUCAGAGAAGCUCAGUUUCCUCCACGCGCGCUUACAAGCAGUCGCUUCGCAUUUCAGGUAAAACGUGUUGCCUGCCUCGUGUAUGGUUCUAAUUAUGUCGGAAUCAGAUUUUGUUAAUGUUUUUACCGUGACUUUGCUUAAUAUGGGUGGCCCUGAAAUGGAAAAUGUGUUGAUUGAUAGUGCGCAGCAAGCAGCAAAUGUGCAGGAUGCACCGGAUAGUGGUGACAUUGUUACCGGGACAUCUUUCCAGUUGCGAAAGGGAUGAUACAACGGGGAGACUAAAUGGAUAAAAGUGCUCACUCCCAAUGGCAAGCCCUUGGAAUAGAAUGAUUUUAUUAUUGCAGGAAAUAUUCUAUGACCCUAAAGGCCGGUCAGGUUACAUCUCCUGGAGACUGCGCACCCUCAAUAGACGUCGUCAGGUGCCAAGUAAAGAAGUUAAAAUUGAGCAGAAAGAAAACGUUCGACCCCCAAAAAUGUGUACCCUCACAAUGAGGAAAGUGCGCAAGGACAGUUGAUCUUCCUCCGCAAUGCCUGUCCUAAGACACAAAAGAAAGAAAUUUUAUUGGCACAGGCGGAGGCAAAUUUGAUAGGUAUGACAAUUUUAUAUCUGAAUUUUUGUUAGUGAGAAGCGAUUUUCAAUUUAAUCCAUCCGAUAGAAUAUUCGUGGU